AUAUCAAUAAGCGGAGGAAAAGAAACCAACAGGGAUUGCCUCAGUAACGGCGAGUGAAGCGGCAACAGCUCAAAUUUGAAAUCUGCCUCUAGGCCGAGUUGUAAUUUGUAGAAGAUGCUUCGGGUGUGGCACUGGUCUAAGUUCCUUGGAACAGGACGUCAUAGAGGGUGAGAAUCCCGUAUGUGACUGGCUGCCUUCGCCCAUGUGAAGCUCUUUCGACGAGUCGAGUUGUUUGGGAAUGCAGCUCAAAAUGGGUGGUAUAUUUCAUCUAAAGCUAAAUAUUGGCCAGAGACCGAUAGCGCACAAGUAGAGUGAUCGAAAGAUGAAAAGCACUUUGGAAAGAGAGUUAAACAGUACGUGAAAUUGUUGAAAGGGAAGCGCUUGCAAUCAGACUUGCGCGCCGUCGAUCAUCCGAGGUUUUCCCCGGUGCACUCGGCGGUGCUCAGGCCAGCAUCGGUUUCGGUGGUUAGAUAAAGGCCUUGGGAAUGUGGCUCCUCCGGGAGUGUUAUAGCCCUCGGUGCAAUGUAGCCUACUGGGACCGAGGACCGCGCUUCGGCUAGGAUGCUGGCGUAAUGGUUGUAAGCGA
Molecule: ribosomal RNA, 586 nt
Filed under: uncultured fungus
Lineage: Eukaryota; Fungi
Description: eukaryotic LSU rRNA
Rfam family: Eukaryotic large subunit ribosomal RNA
Source: RNAcentral